GUUUUUUAUUUGGUCGGGUUGUUGUCUCUUUGACACAUUCCCCAUUUCCAUUCUCAAUUUUAUUUCUCUUUUAUCAUGUUUAUUAAUCUGUCUCCCUGUUUGCAAGUACCAGCAUAAUAGACAAAUGGAUGAAAAGACUAAAGGAAAUUUUUUUUUUGGUAAAAAUUAAAUUAUUAAAUGCCAAAAAAGGUGCAAGCCAGGGCAAACCGUGCAAGGGCUGUAUAGCCAGUCAAGGUCGUUGAAAACUUCCAUUUGUUGUUGUGGAUUUUGUUUUUUACCAGUAUACUUUUCAUAAACCUACAUCACUACUAUAUAUGUUUUUGCCAAGCAAAUUAUGUAGCAGGGCCAUAUGUAUAUCAGAAAAACAAAAACAAAAACAUUUACUUUUCUUACUUUAUUUUAUUACAGAAAGAUCAAUAUUAUCAUUAGAUAUUUUUCUACACAAUUUAUCAGGUUAAAAGUAAUG
This 466-nucleotide long non-coding RNA is filed under the name Mytilus galloprovincialis (Mediterranean mussel). The record is from RNAcentral. Lineage: Eukaryota; Metazoa; Mollusca; Bivalvia; Mytilida; Mytilidae.